AGGGUCUGCGGGUCCCCCCGGGCUUCCCAGCCUCGCGCCCGCCCGCCAGGCGCUUCACCCCCUCUAGGACCGCGGCCCACGCCCCCACCCGAACCCGAGCCUGAGCCCACGCGCGAGGGCCGCUUCCUGCGAGGAGGCGGGGACAGGUGUCCGCGGGCGCAAACAGCGGAGUUUCGUGCGCCUAUUUUUUGGUAAAAGUAGAGGCGAUGCGUUGUUGACAUAUUUAGAGGUUAAAAACCUACUGCUAAAUUCUCAACAGAUUCCAGAAUUUUUUAAAGUUCACAACACAAGAGUGGACGAAAUGUCGGAGCUUUUUCUCAUAUCCAGAAAUGUGGCCUCUGCCUCCCACCCGGGCCCUGCGGUGCAGACGGGUUCAGGGCGGCGAGGACUGAGCCAGGAGCGCAGAGUUCCAGCUGCUCCCAGGCUGGGUUCUAAUUAACACUGGACCCCUGCUGAGAUGGGGUCUCACUGUGUUGCCCAGGCUGGAAUGCAGUGGUGCAAUCUCGGCUCACUGCGACCUCUGCGUCCUGGGUUCAAGCAAUUCUCCUG
This 549-nucleotide long non-coding RNA is filed under the name Pongo abelii (Sumatran orangutan). Its description in RNAcentral is "lincRNA". The record is from RNAcentral. Lineage: Eukaryota; Metazoa; Chordata; Mammalia; Primates; Hominidae.